GAGUUUUGAUCAUGGCUCAGGACGAACGCUGGCGGCGCGCCUAACACAUGCAAGUCGAACGAGAGAGAAGGAGCUUGCUUCUUCGAUCGAGUGGCGAACGGGUGAGUAACGCGUGAGGAACCUGCCUCAAAGAGGGGGACAACAGUUGGAAACGACUGCUAAUACCGCAUAAGCCCACGGGUCGGCAUCGACCUGAGGGAAAAGGAGCAAUCCGCUUUGAGAUGGCCUCGCGUCCGAUUAGCUAGUUGGUGAGGUAACGGCCCACCAAGGCGACGAUCGGUAGCCGGACUGAGAGGUUGAACGGCCACAUUGGGACUGAGACACGGCCCAGACUCCUACGGGAGGCAGCA
This 350-nucleotide ribosomal RNA is filed under the name uncultured bacterium. RNAcentral describes it as "bacterial SSU rRNA". It matches the Rfam family "Bacterial small subunit ribosomal RNA", at positions 9 to 353 of the family's 1533-position model. The record is from RNAcentral.